AAGGGAGAAAUCUGCCCACAUGAUUCAAUAAGCUCCCUCAAGGUCCAUCCCCAACACUGGGGAUUACAAUUCAACAUAAGAUUUGGGUGGGGACCCAGAGCCAAAUCGUAUCACGCCUACAAUGGAGAAACUCAGUGAGGUGAAACCAACCUAAUUGUCCCAUAGAACUGGUAUUUAAUGGUUUCUUCUCAAUAAACAUAGAAGAUAAUCCUCCCAGUCUUAAAACUUAAGAAAGUUGUAUUUGUCUUAUGUGAGUUCUUUUCUCAGGAAAUCAACCAUCAGGCCUUUGAGAUAGUAUAAAGAAACUGAAACUUACCAGAUUGCCACAUCUGGACAAUGAGACACCAGACCCCUCACCUGUCAUGAUUGCCUAAGUGACCACCUGCUCUUCCUGUUUACCAACUCCUCUUCCUUACCUCUUCCUAAUUCCUGUUUUCCUGCAUGUCAUUAUAUUUCUUCCCUACUACUUAAACCCUAAUUUUAGUCAGUCAGGGAGAUGCUUUUGAGACUGAUCUCCCAUUUGCUUGGCUGCAGCACACAAUGAAAGCCUUCUUCCCUGGCAAUACUCGUUGUCUUAGUGACUGGCUUUCUGUUUGGCGAGCAGCAGGACCUCACCAGAUCCCCUGGUGCUUUGGUAACAAGAAGAUGGCUGUGAGGCCUGUUUAAGAAUAUACGCCAUAAAUAGCUUAUCAGGUAUUCCCCUGUCUGUAAGCAACAGCAAGAACCACCAGACCCAAAGGGGCCUUUGGGACAGAGUUAUCUCAGUAGCAAUUGUGCACACCGAUGGCAGAGCACUGGGCCAGAGGAUGGACAGGUCGGAGGAUGCUGGUAAAGAUGAGAGACAUAGGAGUGGAUGAGCCACCUACUUGCUGCGGCAGCAUGCAAACUCCAAGAAGCAAAUGAACUGGAGUUGUGUGGUGGAAUAGGGGCCUCAAAGAUAAAUUGUUGUCCUUUAAAAACCUCUGGGGAUAUAAAUCCUCAUGCUAUAUCCUUUUGAUAGAAAUAAAAGUUAAAAUUAAUCAUGAAGUGUAGUUUGGCAAGUACCUAUAGUCAUGUAUGAUUAUGUCAGAAUAAUCAUACAUAUGGCAGUCAGAAUUCUAUGGAGUAUUAAAAUGAAUCCCCACUUAGAACAUGUUCUCAUUCUGCUCAGAGUAUUCUCUUGCUUUAAAUGAAAACAAGUAGAGAAACAGACUGGUAAGAGAUAAUUCCAUUUGCAAGAGGCAAAGUCUAAUCUAUUUGCAUGCAAAAGUCUAGAAGAGUUUUUUUUUACUUUAUUCAUCACUCCAUUAAUCUAAUUUCAAAAGGGAAGGCCCAGACUGAAAACAGGGGUUAUUCACAUUUUGAACAAACUUCUCAGGCAUGAGUGAGCAAAGCAUUCAACUGUUAGACUUUGUUGCUUCUUUACCAGCUGGAGAUAAGCACAAUGAAGGUCAUCCUAUCUAAUCUUAAAUAUGGAUAGACAUAUACACGUAGUUGGGGUUGGAGAAGAAAUUAUUUUGAAGAAUGGUAAAUAAUAGGUCUUUUAUGCACAGGUGUGCAAGUUGGGAUAACAUGUUCCAUGGUGUCUAUUUCCAUCUUGUGUCAGUCUACAGAAUGAUUGACUGAAUGAAAAUUUCCAUAGUAAACAAUGAGAAAUAGCUAAGAGUCAUGUAUAUCAAACACCAUUCUGCAACAUGACAGAGGGAUUUGGAACGACUGGAGAUACUUCCACCCCAGGAAUUUCCAGGACAUCUGGUAAGUCAACAACAUGAUCACAAACAUUAUGGCCAACAAUGUGAGUUUUUGCAACAAUGUAUUCAUUUUCCAAAUGUUCCAGCUGAGAAAGCCACACAGAACAUUCCCACCAUCUAGCAGAUGGCUAAUGGGGAAGCCAAUAUUUUCUGUGGAAACCAAAGUUUCUUCUUCUAAUGUUAGAUAUUUUCAGCAGAGAGAACAAAUAAGCAUGUUUUUAAAUUUCAUUCUCCCACUCUCAGAAAGAAAAUGUAUUGUAUACUAUUAAUUUUAAAGAGUAUGUAAGAAAAAUGUUUUUUCUUUCCCUUAAGAUUGUAGAAUGAAGAGAUUGCUAGACCCAGAAAUGUUUGGUGGUAGUGAGAAUGGCUGCUACUUUCCUAUGUGACGUGAGAUGGAGGGGUUGGGGAAAAUUUUGAGUCCGUAUUUAUUAUUAUUAUUAUUUUCAUUGCUUUGUGGGGGAAAAUUUUAAGUAUAUUAUUGGAAAUGAGUUUGCUCUUACCUAUGUCUAGAUUUACAACUAACUUGUAGGAUGUAGAGAUAUGAAUGGGACUUGAUUUUCAUAGAAAAUGAAACAAAAUGAACAAGGCUCAAUUACCACAUUUAUUUUAGAAAGAGUAGGAGGGGAUGGCAAGCAAAAGAUAAAAUGCUGUUUGAGUAGCAUUGAGUUAACACCUCUAGUUUUGUAGACUACACUUUCCUGUGCCAGGAAAGCGGUCAAUUCACCUUAAAAUGUUUUACCUUCACUUGUCACUAUCAAGCAUUCAAGUAAAUAUUUGGAAAAACAUGCCUAUGUAAAAUACUUCUAAAGGUAUGCAUUUUUUAUAAAUGCAUGUUUCUAUUUGUUUUUUGUUUCAACGUGUUAUUUAAGAAGUUUAGAGGACCAUGUUGAAGUGGGAGUUUCUCCCACUUUUCCAGUAAUAACUGCAAAUGAGUGUUUUUAUGUCCCUGCAAUCUGACUAAAAUCCUUUAAAAAAAUUAAUUGCGAUACUGCCAUGCAAAGAUAUUGGCAUGUAAAAUUGCACUUAUUUUUGUAACAAGUUAUUUCACUCUUAAUAUUAAAGUUACUCUAUACCUACUAUGUACAAGACAAUAUGCUAAGCUCUGCUGGAGACACAAGAAAUUUACACUGAAGUUUAAUGGUGCAAAGACAUACUUAAUUUCGUUAAGUUAUUAAUCUUAUCUGCCUUCCUCUUUUAAAAAACUGGGUAUCUUAGGUGAAAAAUCCAUUUGGUGCUGCUAGGGUCUGGCUUUCCGAAGCCUGUGCAAACUGGAGUCAAAUGUAUUAUUCAGGAAUGGCUAAUAGGCUCUCUCCAUGAGAUGAAGAUAUGGUCUUCUUGGAAAUAGAGUGAGGUUGAAAAUCAAGAGAACCAAAAACUUGUAAACACCUCCUUAGUGUGGUAUAUGAACAAUUUCUCCUCAUUCUCUAAAGAAUCCCAUGUCCUAAUCCCCAGUAUUUGUGUUUAUAUUAUUUUUUAUGGCAAAAGGACUUUGCUGAUGUUACUAAAUUAAGGAUCUUGAGAUAGGAAGAUUAUUCUGGAUUAUUGAGCGAGCUCAAUAUAAUCACAAGUGUUCUUAUAAGAAGAAAACAUGAGGAACUGAAUCAGAAGAGGUGUGACUAUAAAAACAGAGAUUUGAGUGAUAAUGUUUUGAAGAUGGAAGAAGGGGCUGUAAACCAAGGAAUGCAGGUAGCCCGGUAGGUAAAGCAAGGAAACUAAUCCUCCCCUAGAGGCUCCAGAAGGGAACACAGCCCUGGCAGCACCUUGACAAAUACACUUUUAUCCAGUGUGACUGGUCAGAUUUCUAACCUACAGAACUAUAAGAUAAUAAGCUUGUAUUGUUAUAAGCCACUGUUUGAGUAAUUUAUUUACUGCAGCAAUAGAAAGCUAGUACAGUAAUAAAUCCAUAAAUAAGUACUGUAAGAUCUUCUUGAAGGAAAAUGUAAACCUAAGUAUAUAAAAGCUGUGGAAUAGCAAUAAUUAUUCUUUCCCAACUCUGGCAGGUCUAUGUGGUCUAUGUGCAAAGACCAGCAACAGCUUUACUCAGGAGGAACAAGGAACAAGAGGAAAAAUGUGGAAAGAUGCUUCUCCUGCUCUCUGCAGCCACCUAAGUUUUGCUUAAAUCUAUAUCCCUUUUCUAAAUAAAUUGGGAAACUACAAGAGAUAAACACAUAUAAUCUCUUCUUGCCAACUCGUAGACAGACUUCCAAAGAUAAAAAAAAAAAUCCUAGAAAAGGCUCCAUUGAAUAUUACUGGAGUACUAACUUCUGAUUUUAAUAUGAUCUGUUUCCAUAGCAAACACACCAUUCUGGAGGAGUAGGGAUGACAAUGACUUGGCAGAUAAUUCCUGAAGUUCCAUGAAUUUCUUUGCCAUCAAUUAUAUUUGCUUCUUUACAAAAACUCAGAUGAACUUCUGAGGAUUUUAAACAAGGAAAGCAACUGUCAAGAAGUGAAAAUGAACCCUAACCAAAUGUAUCAACGUACAGAACUGAGAUAUGAAUUGAUAAGAAAAUGAGAAAAAAGGCAAGAUGACCAGAAGAUACUGACAGAAAAAAAUUUAAGAAGCAGCACCAUUAGUGGAAGCCAACAAGCCUUUCCAUUGCUCCUGGAGAGCUGGUCCCAGAGAAGCCUACUAACUAGAUGGAAGGCAAGCAGCUGUGAGCUGUCUCUUUUAGCACCUGACCUUCCUGGCUUGGCUAAGUUCACUUCAACUUCCUCUUCAGGAGAGAGGAGAGAAAUCAGCUGUCCUGGGGCCUGCUUUUAUUUCCAAUGAUUAUUGUCUCAUACCUGAUGACUGGGUAGGGACCAUUUCUGGCCUGGGUGACUUUGGCAUCUAGACCCUGGCAUACAUCUGUCUGAGCCAUCUGCAGCUGGUGAAAAAUAACCCACCACAUAAAACACCACAGCUAGUGAACAUUUCCCACCUUUUAUCCUCUGGCUUCAUAGGGCUGUGACAGACGGUGCCCCAGCAGGGACUAUGCAGCUCAACUGCCAAAGGGGAGCGCCAGCCAUCGUGAUGGUCCUGACUUCAAAUCUGGGAUAUCCAGUUGUUCCAGUGCAAUUUAUUGAAUAGACUUUUUCUUCAUUGAAUUACCUCAGUGCCUUUGUUGAAAAUAAAUUGGCCAUAAAUGCGUGAGUUUGUUUGUGGAUUGUCAACUUAUACCAAUGCCACACUGCUAUGAGUACUACAGCUUUGUUUUAAGUAAUGAAGGCAAAUAAAGCUAAUACUUCAAGCUUA
Molecule: non-coding RNA, 4965 nt
Organism: Macaca mulatta (Rhesus monkey)
Lineage: Eukaryota; Metazoa; Chordata; Mammalia; Primates; Cercopithecidae
Source: RefSeq, a predicted model, not a curated record